This is a long non-coding RNA of Schistocerca gregaria, 129 nucleotides long. RefSeq lists it as uncharacterized. NCBI's taxonomy places the organism in Eukaryota, Metazoa, Arthropoda, Insecta, Orthoptera, Acrididae. The transcript is spliced from 3 exons. The record is from RefSeq and is a predicted model, not a curated record.
GGCGAGUUGCGGGAUGAUAAUAAUCGAGUGCCUGAUGAGAUAAAGAGGAAAUUUUGUAACGGAGUACCUCGAUGUUGGAGACACUGCUGUUCAGAGUGGACAAAGAAUAAAGGUGAGGAUAGUGCCACA